UGGGGAAUAUUGCACAAUGGGGGAAACCCUGAUGCAGCGACGCCGCGUGAGCGAAGAAGUAUUUCGGUAUGUAAAGCUCUAUCAGCAGGGAAGAAAAUGACGGUACCUGACUAAGAAGCCCCGGCUAACUACGUGCCAGCAGCGCGGUAAUAUCUCUGU
Molecule: ribosomal RNA, 159 nt
Filed under: uncultured bacterium
Lineage: Bacteria
Description: partial 16S ribosomal RNA
Rfam family: Bacterial small subunit ribosomal RNA
Source: RNAcentral